Molecule: ribosomal RNA, 370 nt
Filed under: uncultured bacterium
Lineage: Bacteria
Description: partial 16S ribosomal RNA
Rfam family: Bacterial small subunit ribosomal RNA
Source: RNAcentral
CCUACGGGAGGCAGCAGUGAGGAAUAUUGGUCAAUGGCCGAGAGGCUGAACCAGCCAAGUCGCGUGAGGGAAGAAUGUCCUAUGGAUUGUAAACCUCUUUUGUCAGGGAGCAAAGUCACCCACGUGUGGGUGUUGGAGAGUACCUGAAGAAAAAGCAUCGGCUAACUCCGUGCCAGCAGCCGCGGUAAUACGGAGGAUGCGAGCGUUAUCCGGAUUUAUUGGGUUUAAAGGGUGCGUAGGCGGGUUAUCAAGUCAGCGGUAAAAUCGUGGAGCUCAACUCCAUCCCGCCGUUGAAACUGAUGGUCGUGAGUGGACGAGAGGUAGGCGGAAUGUGUGGUGGAGAGGUGAAAUGCAGAGAGAUAACGCAGAA